RNAcentral lists this long non-coding RNA (1646 nucleotides) under Panicum hallii. RNAcentral describes it as "long non-coding RNA (PHAL_LNC000074)". Lineage: Eukaryota; Viridiplantae; Streptophyta; Magnoliopsida; Poales; Poaceae. The record is from RNAcentral.
UUCUUUCUCCGUAUAUUCUCUGUGUAUUUUAGAUUUCAGCUUGAACGUAUUCUUUCUACCGGAUCCCAUAACAUCUACCCCUUUCUCCUCCCUCUCCGUCUUCCUCCCUUCCAUUCUCUCUCCUCCGCCGCCCGUAUGCUCGCCGCCGCCGUGUAACCUGCGCCAUCUCAGGCUCUUAGCUUCCUCCCUUCUCUCUUCCCCUCCCUUCCUCCACCUCUCUCCAACAAUCUCUCUUCUCCUCCGUUCUCUCUAAUCUCACCACACCAUACUUCUUAGUAAUCUGAAAUUAGCAUUACAAUUUACAAUAUUAAAAUUCCUAAAACUUCAUAACAAGGAAUUGUUUCACUGCUUUUGUAAGUAGUACAAGCACUCAUGCAGUAGUGUAGUAUUCACGCAGAAGCACAAGCACUCCAUCUAUACCAAAGUAUGUCAGUUUGGUGGAUAGUACGCCGAGCUCCUGAGCCAAACGUGUAGUCUAUUACAUAUAGCUCAUCAAAGGACCUGCAUGAAAAUAAUAAAAAUAAUAAAGAACUCAUCAUUCAGGUUAUGACAUCAUAGCAGCCUUACAAAGUUCAUCGAUGGUCAUGAAAUUAUUGACUAAAAUUUGGAGAACCAAGAUUGAUUGCAAAACACGGUAGCAUAUCCUCCAGGUAGCUGAUAAAAUAUAGAAAAUGGCAAAUGUCGUAUGAAAACUCAACUCAAAACAUCUUAUAAGAAAAGGUAUUCCACAGGUUGUGUCAACAAUCAUUCACAAAAAAUAGAAAAAAUUCUAUGCCUAACGAAUUCUACCGGAAAUAUUUUCCUAAGCCCCUAAAGAAUUUUUUAUGUUAGAAUGCUUGUAACUAACUGAAGCAUAGCAAUGCCGUAGGCACAUAUCGUAUAUUGCAAAAUGCCUUAAAAAAACAAGAGGAGGCCUAAAAAUGGAGGACUUUCUACCAAAAUGACUACGAAAUAAUCUAGCCUGGCAUCAUUUCUGUUCUUUUGAACUAAGACCAAUUAACUUGUAGAUACUUAGAAAAUGGAGGGUCUUGGAUCAAAAUAAAUAUGAAAUAAUAUAGGCUAUAGAUUGUGCUCUUUUGAACUCAAUUCCAUAUACGAGAUUUGAAAACCAGUGAGAUUGAAGGAAGGUUUUGGCUUGUACCUUCUCUACGAGUUAGGCUCGCAAUCAAAUGCGUACCUGAAACAGCGAUAUGGAAAUCAAAAUUAAGCUUCAUGCGAACCAGAACUCGCACCAUGUACCAGCAGGUAUCUUCGUCAAUGAACUCGUUCCUCCAUGGAGAUCCGUAAGAGGUUCACCUGUACUUGCGUCCUCAGUGGUGCAGAGAACUUCAAAGAAGGGCAGCUAACAGAUCCAAUCGGAUGAGUAGAUCUAGAAGAGGAAUGAGCACUCAAGAACUGCACAGCAGAGCGCAAGCGUGAAGAGGGAAGAGAAAUACUCUAGUCGCCGGAGCUCCAAGAAAAUAGCCAGCGUCGGCGAGCAGAGGGAGGGUGGAUGUGGUACAGGUAUAUGGCCCAGGCGAGCAGACGGGUCGUGGCCACAGAAGGGAGGCAGCGUCAAGGUGAGAUUAGAGAGAACGGAAGAGAAGAGAGAUUGUUGGAGAGAGAUAGAGGAGGGGGAGGAGAAGAGAGAAGGGAGGAAGCUGAGG